UGUAAGCGUAUACCAAAGUUGUUGCAGUUAAAACGCUCGUAGUCGGAAUUUGGCAGUUCCGGAUGUGUGCACGUCGUGUGCGCACUUCGCGGGGAUUGCUUUUGUGGUCUUGCGUAGGAUGAGGCACUUUUAUUAGUGAACGUCCUCACGCAACCACUUUUUACUGUGAGAAAAUCAGAGUGCUCAAAGCAGGCAUUUGCCGUGAAUGUAUUAGCAUGGAAUAAUAGAAUAGGACUUGGUUCUAUUUUGUUGGUUUGUUGGGACUGAGUAAUGAUUAAGAGGGACAGUUGGGGGCAUUUGUAUAUCGGUGCUAGAGGUGAAAUUCUUAGAUUACCGAAAGACAAACUGCUGCGAAAGCGUCUGCCAAGGAUGUUUUCAUUGA
This 382-nucleotide ribosomal RNA is filed under the name uncultured eukaryote. Its description in RNAcentral is "partial 18S ribosomal RNA". It matches the Rfam family "Eukaryotic small subunit ribosomal RNA", at positions 592 to 976 of the family's 1831-position model. The record is from RNAcentral.